RNAcentral lists this unclassified non-coding RNA (247 nucleotides) under Hevea brasiliensis (rubber tree). The record is from RNAcentral. Lineage: Eukaryota; Viridiplantae; Streptophyta; Magnoliopsida; Malpighiales; Euphorbiaceae.
UUUCGAAUCUAGUUGUCAUGCGUGUUUCUUGGCUCUUUAACUACUAAUUCACUGUUCAUAUGGUUCUCUCGGAGUUCCUUGGUUACCUUCUCAUGAGUUAUGUUAUAUCAUAUGAUAUAAUGGGUCUCAUGGUUAUCAUGGUUUCAGCUCUUGUACAUACUGAAUUGUGGCUUAUUAUUGCUUAUGUCUUGUUUGUGGUAUAUAUUGAUACCAGUAAAUAAUAUGUACUUUGAUUGGUGAUGCAGAG